Molecule: long non-coding RNA, 841 nt
Filed under: Aquilegia coerulea
Lineage: Eukaryota; Viridiplantae; Streptophyta; Magnoliopsida; Ranunculales; Ranunculaceae
Description: long non-coding RNA (ACOE_LNC000796)
Source: RNAcentral
UACAAUGUCUGCAUUUGUCUAGUAAAUGUGAAUAGAGCAACCAACUAGACUUACUAUUUCACCAAAAGAAUAAAAAACCCAACCAGACUUGUUUAAAGUGACACUACUUGAUUGAGGUACAAGUAAAUCCGAGAAUAAUCCAGUUAUGACACUACUUUAUAGAAUCUACUAGGAUGACUCAUAUCUGUGACAAUAACAACAAUCCCCAAAAUACAAUAAACGAAACAAGUCCUACAAGUACACUAAAAGUCUGGAAUUCACAUGCAAAAACGACAUUACACUAGUUAAGAGCUAUGCUGUCAGGGGCGGAGCGGAGCGCCAGGCGUUCGGUUUCUGCCUCACCGCCUCGACCGCCUAGGCGCCGCCCAGGCGGCGCCCUGAUCAGACCCCUGACAGCAUGUCAGCAUCACAGCAAUACAGACCCCUGACAGCGGAGAAGAGAGAAGAGAGAAGAGAGAAGAAGAGAGAAGAGAGAAUAGAGAAGAGAGGCAGCAGCGGAGAAGAGAGGCAGCAGCGGAGAAGAGAGAAGAAGCAGCAGCAGCAGCGGAGAAGAGAGAAGAGAGAAGAGAGAAGAAGCAGCAGCGGACAUGGGCUUUUUUUAAGUUUUUAUUUUGGGGCCCAAAAUUUGGGCUGCUUGAGCGCCUGUAUUUUGACCGCCCUGAGCAGAGCGCUGCGCCUGGGCGCCGCCCAGGCUGUUCGAAGCGUUUUAGGCGCUAUUUUACCUGAGCGAAGCGACCCCUUUCUGAAAUAGCGCCUAGGCGGCGCCUAGCGCCGCCUAGGCGCCGCCCCUGACAGCAUAGGUUAAGAGUGCUAAUAAACUGUAGUAAGAAACAACUUCAUU